Molecule: long non-coding RNA, 758 nt
Organism: Portunus trituberculatus (swimming crab)
Lineage: Eukaryota; Metazoa; Arthropoda; Malacostraca; Decapoda; Portunidae
Exons: 3
Source: RefSeq, a predicted model, not a curated record
AUUGACGUCUCCGCCACCACCUCCUCCCUGCCUUGGAUUAUUGUGUUAUGGAUACAGUGUUUGGGUUUGAUGAGUAACAUAGGUACUUGGAUUGAGGAGUGUGUGACGGUUCAACUGGGAAGUGGUGGUGGUCGGUGUGCUGCGGUGACUCGUGUAUGCUGGAGUGCCUGGGGCUAUCUGAAUACCAAUCAACCACUUGGACCCGCCUCUUCUCGUACUCUGAAGCCGAUAAGUCUGAUACGGGAGUCCGGUCUGCCGCCCCCGUGAAUUAAGGAAAGGCGCCUCGACAACACAUCUUCAACGGGGAAAAAUUACCUUAUCUAAAUUCACGAGGCCAUACAGUCCCCUUCCCUGGCCUGUCACCGCCUCUCCCACGAGGACGUCUGGGCUCCUCAACCUUCCUCACUUUCUUCAUUCGCAUUUUAUGACUCUGGAAUUCUUCCGUUUUGGGUUGGCCGUGGCUGGUCCGCCUCCAUAAUGGGAUAAUCUAGUCGUCUCAGAAAACUGCCGCAGUGUCUGGCCGACAGGGGGGGCAAAUGGGGACUCACCAGGAGGGGGGGAGGAGGGCAGCACGGAAGGUGGAGCCAGCUGCACCAUUAAGUAGGGUCCUCUGCCUGUUUCGCUAUCCCCUCCAUCCUGGCCUCCCUCCUUCCCCCAGACGAUGGAGUCUCCCCAGCUUCUUGCACAGGCCUUUCUUCCUCGCUUGUCUCCCGCUCUAUUGAUGUUCUACCUGACAGAACUUGAGGCUUGUCUACUUG